This 900-nucleotide long non-coding RNA is filed under the name Rhinopithecus bieti (black snub-nosed monkey). RNAcentral describes it as "lncRNA (ENSRBIG00000045087.1)". Lineage: Eukaryota; Metazoa; Chordata; Mammalia; Primates; Cercopithecidae. The record is from RNAcentral.
CUUGAAAUCCUACUCCCUACCCCACAAAUGGUCACACUCAUUUUCUCAUUCUCAGUGUCAUCAAAAUGCAGCUGUUCUGCCCAAAAUGGGAAAUGUUGAAGUUACAACCAAGAAAGCUUGCUAAAGUGACUACAAAGACACUGAUUGCUUUUUUCUCAGAAAGCAGAUUACUUUGCAGUCCAGCAGGGAAGAAAUUGAAUGAUUUUACCCACUUUGCUACACAGAUGAUUACAAGACCCGAAGCAAUCACCAAGCUGACUAAGGCUGCCAGCGUUCUAGCACCUUGGAUAGUUCCUGCUCACUAGGCCCAUUGGAAAAGGGAGAAGAAGCAACUGAAGAAAUUGCAAGAAACCGGAAAGCGGCAUCGUUCUAGUUUGGAUUUCAGCUCCCUGGGGGCUCCCAUCCUCAUUAAAGGCCUCACAUCUAGGCAACAGAACCUCUCUCUUUUAUCUAACUGAGCUGAAGUCUGAUUAUUAAAUAAUAAAAGGAAAAGAGGGUAAAGAAAUACCCUUCAUUUAUAUUCACUAUAGCACUAAUUUAGUCUUUAUGGAGAGGAAAAAUAUAAAUCCAUUGAAAACAAACGUUCUUACUACAGAGAAUGGUUAAGUUAUAAGCAUUUCACCCUUGGUGUGGCUAACGAAAAUGAGCAACAACUUAAAUGGAACAUCUAGAUCUCAGUUUGAUACCUUUAUUUGAUAUCAAUUUUGCCUCCACCCUCCCUGCACAGCCGAACCAUGCACACAAUUACUGCUGACGUACUUCAGGCUGCUGCUUGGGGAGAGAGGGGAGGAGCCUUUUAACCUCAUCAAAACAGCUUCAUGCCACCUGCUCCCAUGGCAUGAGAACAAAACUAGCCCACUUAGAAAGAACAUGCACAGUACACACGUGUGUGGAACAAAG